RNAcentral lists this non-coding RNA (27 nucleotides) under Mus musculus (house mouse). The record is from RNAcentral. Lineage: Eukaryota; Metazoa; Chordata; Mammalia; Rodentia; Muridae.
AGGAAGGUUUGCCCCACUCUGAGUUGC